RNAcentral lists this transfer RNA (89 nucleotides) under Bacteroidota bacterium. RNAcentral describes it as "tRNA-Ser". It matches the Rfam family "tRNA". From Rfam's summary of the family: Transfer RNA (tRNA) molecules are approximately 80 nucleotides in length. Their secondary structure includes four short double-helical elements and three loops (D, anti-codon, and T loops). Lineage: Bacteria; Pseudomonadati; Bacteroidota. The record is from RNAcentral.
GGUAGAGUGGGUGAGCGGCUUAAACCACCAGUUUGCUAAACUGACGUACUGGUAACGGUACCGAGGGUUCGAAUCCCUCCUCCACCGCC